CUGUUCCUCAGGCUGUAGAUGAAAGGUUUCAGCAUGCGGGUGACCACGGUGUACAUCACGGAAGCAAUGAUGCCUUUGUCAUGAGAUUGGCCUGAUGAGGAGGAAAGGUAUAGUGCCAUCAUUGUCCCAUAGAAUAGAGACACCACAGAGAGGUGGGAGCCACAGGUGGGCCAGGCUUUGAGAUCCCUUUAAUAGAGGGGACCCUCAGAAUGGAGACCCCAAUGCGACCAUAGAUAUUAGGAUGCCACUCAGUGGCAAAAUGAGAAAUGCAGACAAUACAGUGAAUAUGACCAGCUCAUUGCGAGAGGUGUCUGAGGAGGACAACUGAAGCAGGGCAGCAAGGUCACAGAAGAAGUGGGGGAUGAUGUUAUCAGCACAGAAGGAUAGGUGAGCUAGGAAAAGGGUGUGGGUCAGGGUGAUGGCACAGGAGAGGAGCCAGCAUCCAUCCAACAGACAAAGACACAGCUCUUCUGUCAUGAUGAUGUAGUGUAGAAGGUGACAAAUGGCCACAUACCUGUCAUAGGACAUCACUACAAGAAGAAGGUUAUCAAUGCAAGAAAAAUAUGAAAUAAUACAUUUGUGUUAUAUAUUCUGCAUAAGGAAUGGAUUGAUCCUGAGCCUGCAUGUCCAUCAGCAUCUUAGGGAAAGUGACAGAGGAAUAGGAGACAUCCGUGAGGGCCAAGUGGCUGAGGAAGAAGUACAUGAGGGUGUGGAGGUGAGGGUCCAGCCUGAUGAGCAGGAUGAUGAGCAGGUUCCCCAGUGCCAUGGUCAGGUACAUGCCCAGGAACAAGGCAAAGAACACAUCCUGCCACUCUGGCUGGAUGGGGAGCCCCAGGAGGAGGAAUUUGGACAUGCUGCUCUGGUUUUCCCUCCUCAUGCUCCUCUCCCAUCUGCUGGGGAAGAAGGGGAGUGGGAAAUAUCAGAGACACUGAAGCCACACUCAUAGCCACCACAACAGGGCCUCUCUCUUUCUCAUGGAGAAAUGGAAUAACUGCCUACAUUUCUUUUAUCAAAUAGUGUUACCAAAGCAAGUGACACACCAUAAACAUGAUUCCUUUUGAUGAAAACCAGAGAAAAUUCAUUCUUUUAUCUUUUUAAUCAACCAUGUUUCUGAUGCUAUCCUACUAAAUGGACACAUGAGAUUAAAUAGGACUUAUGGGACCUCUUUCCUCAUGAUACUAACAAUUGAGAACACACCUGACAAAGGACUAGCUAAAUGAACCUGAAGCUAGACUUGCUGUGUAAUGAUUUUGGUCCCACCACACUCUCGCUGUAGGACUUAGGAUGCUAAAUUUCUCUUGGCCUCAGGUUGUGCCUCUAUAUUGUGAGAAUGCCAAUAUCACACCUUCAUAGAGUUAACAGGAAGGAUACGCAUUCAUUUGGCAUUAAUUUCUAAGAACACUGUCCUGCAUAAAAUAAACAUCAAAAUUGCAUAGUUUAAUUGUAUGAGAAAAUCCGCAUAACCUCCCCCCAAUAAAACAAUAUCAAAUUCAGGAAUUUAAUAAAGAAGUAUUAUGAGGUGGUCAGCUUAAAGGACCAAGAAGCUGACCUAAAAUUUAUGUUAACUUAUCUGAGCUCUCACAUGAUUAAAGUGAGUUCUGAGCUCAUAUCCUAUCACUGGGGUAGGUUCCCUGGUAGAAUUUGUCUUAAUGCACGUUUAUCUUUUUGCCAAAAAAGAAUCCUUACUUCAGUGCAUGAACCUCAUUCUAUCUCCAUCUACAUGGCUCACAUCUGGAUAUUCAUCAGUAGGAAGACACCUGAGAUCUGAGGUGGCAUCUGAGAGCUGAGCGAUCCUGAAGGAUUGGGGUGUCUAUUAGAAUUCAGUGAUCUGAAUGACCAGCACUCUUUCCCAAUACUGAUCUUCACACUGAUAAUAAUUCACAGUUAAUGACCACAAUGGAAAACAAAUACAUUUUUGCAUGAUUGCCUCACUGAAGUUUUCAAUAGUCUGAGGAAGGAGGAGUUCCUAUUAUGUUUCAGCAGGUUAAGGACCCCGGUUGUUGUCCCUGUGAGGAUGUGGGAACAACCCCAGCCCUUGCUCAGUGGGUUAAGCAUCCAGCAAUACCACAAGCAGCGGCAUAGGUUACAGAUGCGGCUCAGGUUUGACCCCUAGCCCCAGAACUUCCAGGUUUGGCUGUAAAAAAGAAAAUAAACAAAACUUCAUUAACAUCACACUCAGAAGGAAUAGAAAACUAGCUUGAUUAUAGAGUUAGUAACUGCUAUAGUCACAAUUCUCUCCCAUGUUAUUAAAAUAUAUGGGAAUCUUUGCUCCUAUGACCUUACAGUUCAUGCCUGUCUUUAGUUAGACAUAUAGGCAGGACCUGAAGAACCAUUUCAGGACAUGAAGGAGUGCUCCUGUUCAGAUAACUGUCCACACUCAUUUUCCUGCAGCCCUUUAGUUUAUCAAUGGCUUUCAUAUGCUUUCAACUUCAUUCAAUCCAUCAACCUUUAUUUCUGUCAGGGGAGUAGAGAAGACUGUGUUUUUUCCCUGCUUUCUACCAACAGGAGUAGUGAAAAAUACUUAGAAAAAUCUCACAUAGAUAUUUAAUAAGAGGCAGGAUCAAAGCCUGAUUUCCUUUCUUUUGGCUUGCUUUUUAGGGCUGCCCCUGUGCAAUAUGGGGGUCUGGAGGCUAGGAAUCAAUUUGGGGUUGCAUCUGCCCACCUACUUCACAGCCACAGCAACAAGGAAUCCACGCAGCAUCUGUGACCUACACCAGAGCUCACAAUAAUGUAUGAUACUUAACCCACUGAGUGAGGCCAGAAGUUGAACCCACAUCUUCAUGGAUACUAUUCGGGUUCAUAAUCUGCUGAGUUAAAACAGGAACUCCCUCAAAGAUUGAUUUUCUGAUCAUCUUUUCACUAGAGAGAGAAUCCACACAUUUCUUUUUAUGGGGGUUAGAGAAGAUAAAGUCAAAUGACAAGUGUGAACAGUUAAAGGUAAAUGUUAAAAUUUGCUUGGGGUAGAAAAUUUACAUUGUGUAAGAAUCUGCCAAUAGAUGCAUGCUCCAUACCAGGGAGUUUCUUAGGGUUAUUCGCUGACUCAGUUCAUAGAGCACAAGGAGGAAAAAGGUACUUGACCCUCCUGACAAACACAGGCUUCUCACUGAAAGCUGCUAGGUCAGACUUAGCCCAGGAUCUCACAGAUAUCCUACAGAAGAAUCAGAGCUCCUAAUGACACCCAGGAGCUGCAGUGUGAUCAAAAGAAAACAAUACAGAUGUGGUAUUUUUAUUCCAUCAGCGCUGCAUGCAAAGAGGUAGCUGGGGAAUGGCUCAAAAGUGAAAAGGAAACAGUGUGUGACCUAGGGGUGGUCCACUGAAAGAGAGACUAUGGAUGGGCUUGAUUUUCAUGUUUUCAUACAAAAUACUGUCCCCAGCACAAUAGGAAUUGGAGAGUCUAGUGUUUGGGUCUCCAAGAGGCUACAAUUUGCCAAGUGCUUACAAUGUGCCUCACUUCUUAAGCUCCUUACAGACAAGAUCUGUCAGCAGUUAGCAUGAUCCCAUGUAACAGUGCUGGAUGCUGGGAAUCACCAGGGCCAAACCCAAGGCCACCAAGCUAUUAACUGGGGAAAAGGAAAAGAUCUGAGUGUCAAAGAAUGGGAUUCCAGAAAUGGGCAUUUCAUUUCUAAACAGUUUUACUAAAGUGAAGCAGAGUGUCAAAAGUCUUGAGCUUUCAGGGGCCCUGCUGGAGGAGUCAAAUCACAGAAAAAUGGAUGUCAACAGCUCUGCAAAGUCAGUUUCCUAUGGAGCUGUGUGUGUGGAUUCUGUCUUCAGGCAGGUGGAGAGUAAAAAAUCAGAGAAUGUCACAUACUCACAAAAACAAAUAUUUCUUCUGUGUAGGACUCAAGGUGUGGGUUUGCUACAAAAAGGACUCACACACUAUCAUAGACACAUGCUUGCCCAAUGGAGAUUUAUAAAUUUCUCUGGCUCAUACUCUCACUAGGUAAAUACAGGCAAUGUGUGAGUCAGCUUCACACAAAUCUAUGCAAAACUCACAAACAAAAUACUCAUAUACAACACAGCUGCAUGCACAGAAAUAUCAAGCAUCCUAGACCAGAGUUGUUGUCAUCAAAAGUAGUCACUCCUAUUCGAAUCACAAGAAAUACACAAGGUCUUUUACACACAUCACACAAGCAGCAGAUGCAAGAAGAAUAAGCACACACUGAGGAAAUGUCCAGGCUUCUCUGACCUCUGUAUAUCCUACUAUGAGUCAUUCAGUGUGUUUGUCAGUUAUACAUACACACACAGACUCGUACAACACACACACACACACAUAUACAUAACUUCUCUGAUGGUCACACACAAUUACACAGACACAUAUGCAUGACUGGGGAGGUUUCUGGGCUCCUUCUGAGCUAUACCUGCGCUCUGAGUUCAAAUACUUUCUCCUACAUUCUGUUACCUGAAUCCUCAUUUUCUGUCCAGAAGACCCAGGAUCCAAAGAAAAGGAGCCAACCUUGGAGGCAUGAUGAUCUGUACACUGUCACAUCAGUUCUCCAGCUUCAGAACAAUGCACAAGUAUAUCUGCUUUCUCCAUUGUAAAGAAAUCCCAGAGGGAAUCCAUCCAAGGCCCCGACUAGAAAAGCCUUCCAAUGAGGCAACUGCCCAAUUCCCUCAUGGCCUCUCAGGAAGGAGGAUGAUUAGGGUCCACAAAGGCUAAGUUGUACCUGGUUUCGCAUGAGAAAGUGUCCCUGAUAUAAGUGGUACCUUGAGCUUUUGGUCAAGUCUCUGACAAGAAGUAGGAGUGCCCCCAUUGUCAGUGGCCUCUGCAUCAUGAGCACAGCUUCUCCCAGGCAGUGCAAGGGCUUCUGCAGGUUCCCCAACACCAACACAGGCUCUUAUUAGAACACAAAGCCCCUUAAAAUGUGCAUCUCUCCCCACUCCCCUGAAAGGUUUUGUAAGGUACAAUUUAUAUCUUGUUCAGGGGAAGGGGUGUUGAAUAUAAAACACUCAAAAUAAAAGACUGUGGAUUCUUCCCCUACUAAGAAAGCAUACUUGACCAAUUUAUCAAAUACUACCAACACUCAAAGUGGAAAUAAUAAUCAUAGUCUUAAUGUAACUUUGAGGGAUGGUUAAAUGAGAACCUAAUACAAGCUUACUAAAUGCUAAGGUUUAUUGUCAAUGUUUUGUAUCACUAGAGAUCAGUUAUGGCUCACAAGAGGCAAGUGUGAUUGGUAACUCUUGAUUGAAUACAUAUGUUCAAUCAUUCAUUCAUUGACUUACAUAAACACGAAUGUUCUCAUAAGUGUAACACUGAUAUAUUGUCCAGAGACAUAACACCAAAAAACAUAAACAAAAAUCCCUCAUUUAGAACACACAUCCAAACUGGAUGUGG
This 5332-nucleotide long non-coding RNA is filed under the name Sus scrofa (pig). RNAcentral describes it as "lncRNA (ENSSSCG00000058150.1)". Lineage: Eukaryota; Metazoa; Chordata; Mammalia; Artiodactyla; Suidae. The record is from RNAcentral.